GCACCCCUAACACACCCUACCUGAGGUAAGCUACUUUGUGUUCUGAUGUGAUUUGAAAAUUUAAAAUAUUAAUUAAAUUCUAAGGCUUGAAUAAAUCAGUUAUUAAAUCCCUGAAUAUAUAUAGAAACUUGUUCUUAUAUUUUCAUGGAAAAUACAACUUGAUUUUAUUUGUCCUUGAGAUAUUUAACCAUAUUUAAAUUAACAAUUAAUUCUUUUUGUCCUUUUUUUUAUAAUUCAAUAAUAUAAAUAAAAAAAAAACAAACACACACAAACAUUUCUUUUUCUUUUCUUUUCUUUCUUUUCUUUUCUUCUACAUCCACAUUUACAUAAAAUACAAAAUACAAACUAUGAAAAGAAAAACUCAAAAUUACACAAAUAUAACAUUAAACAAUUCUAAAAUUACAAAAAAUGACCCAAAACAAUCCGGGACAGUGCUGGUAACCUCUGAGUCGCUGGAAUAGUGCUGUGAAGACCUCUGGAACAGCAAGGACAGUGGCGGCGCGUGGACCCACGCGCCGCCGUGAAAUCAAACCAGAAACAGGGGGGCCAGAAAUGGCUUUCUCCCCUCUUCUCUUCCUCGCCGGCGGUGACAACCACCGCUAUCUGCAGAACGGAGAAACACACACAAACAGCAGUUGAUUUUAAUUUUUCUUUCCGUUACAGAUCUGCUUCUCUGCAGAUCAGUUCUUUGUUUCCUUUCUCUUCUCUGUCAUGGACGGGUCUGCUGUAGAGGAGAUGAGGGGAGCUGUUCGGUUCUUUGGAGAAGAGGGAAGGCAGCUCUGGUGCCCAACGGCUGUGGAAGAAGGACUGUUGUUGGAGGCCGAUCUGCGCCGAUGAACGAAGCUUCUUCGCAUGCGGGCUGGAAGGAAUGGCGAUGGUGACAGGGGCGACUCCUGGUAGUCGGUGGCCGUCGCUGUUGAGGGCUGAGAAAGGAGUUGAUGGGUCGACUGGGAGAGAGGCGAACUCGUGGGGAGCAGCUGAGAGGGAGGAUAGUGAACGGCGGUUGGGCAAAGGCUGAGGCGAUGUGGUAUGGUCUGCUUCUCCUUUGUUGAGGGAAGGCUUGGUCGGCUGGGAAACUGACGAUGUGGUGGGGCUUGUUUGGUCUGAAAGAGAGGGGAGUGUGGGUGUGCAAGGGCUGAGGAAGAAGAUGAAGAUGGAAUCAGUGGGGGACGGGCUCUAUGCCGGGACGAAGAGAGGGACUGUGGGAAGCUGGUGGCUGUGAUAGGAGGAGAAAACAAAUCAAAAAGGGGAGUGUGAGGCUGGCCGGUCGGUUGGGGGGGAACGGCCAAGGAAAGAGAUGUUCGGGUCUAGUUUCUGCUUGGAUCCGGGUUGGGGGUCAGCGGCUGUGGAUGAAGAGGAUGAGGGGGGAGCUGUGUUUGGCUGCUGGGUGAGAAAAAAAUUCAACGUGGGGGCCGGCGGCUGGUUUCCCAAAGAAGAAGACUAGGGAGAAAAAUUCAAAACCAGUGGGGGAGGCGCCGCCGGCCCGUUUUUUUUUAGUGGGGAGAAAGAGUUGGGUUUUAGGGUUUUUUUUGUUGAAUCUGUCAAAACUAACCCCCCCCCCC
RNAcentral lists this long non-coding RNA (1562 nucleotides) under Populus trichocarpa (black cottonwood). RNAcentral describes it as "long non-coding RNA (PTRI_LNC001637)". Lineage: Eukaryota; Viridiplantae; Streptophyta; Magnoliopsida; Malpighiales; Salicaceae. The record is from RNAcentral.